This 392-nucleotide ribosomal RNA is filed under the name uncultured bacterium. RNAcentral describes it as "bacterial SSU rRNA". It matches the Rfam family "Bacterial small subunit ribosomal RNA", at positions 28 to 423 of the family's 1533-position model. The record is from RNAcentral.
GACGAACGCUGGCGGCGUGCUUAACACAUGCAAGUCGAGCGGUAAGGCCCUUUCGGGGGUACACGAGCGGCGAACGGGUGAGUAACACGUGGGUGACCUGCCCUCAGCUCUGGGAUAAGCCUGGGAAACUGGGUCUAAUACUGGAUAUGACUCCACGGUGCAUGUCGUGGGGUGGAAAGCCUUGUGCGGCUGAGGAUGGGCCCGCGGCCUAUCAGCUUGUUGGUGGGGNGAUGGCCUACCAAGGCGACGACGGGUAGCCGGCCUGAGAGGGCGACCGGCCACACUGGGACUGAGACACGGCCCAGACUCCUACGGGAGGCAGCAGUGGGGAAUCUUGCGCAAUGGGCGAAAGCCUGACGCAGCGACGCCGCGUGAGGGAUGACGGCCUCGGC